This is a non-coding RNA of Heterocephalus glaber (naked mole-rat), 71 nucleotides long. The record is from Rfam. Lineage: Eukaryota; Metazoa; Chordata; Mammalia; Rodentia; Bathyergidae.
AGAGAUUUAGCUCAAUGGUAGAGCACUUACCUAGCAUUAUGAGGCCCUAGGUUCAAUCCCAAGAAUAUUUU